GGAGGCGUCGCAUAGCGGUCUAGUGCGCACGCUUGGAAAGCGUGUGAGGGGCAACCCUCCGAGCGUUCGAAUCGCUCCGCCUCCGCCA
This 88-nucleotide transfer RNA is filed under the name bacterium. Its description in RNAcentral is "tRNA-Ser". It matches the Rfam family "tRNA". From Rfam's summary of the family: Transfer RNA (tRNA) molecules are approximately 80 nucleotides in length. The record is from RNAcentral. RNAcentral also lists the same sequence under 1 other name.